AUGACAUCAUUUUAUGGCUGAGCAAUUUGCAGGCCAAAAAGACCUGAGACUCCCUGGGGUGAAGGGAAAUGCCACAGACAUCCAUGGUCUUGGAUGCUCAACAGAAGUGCUUGCCUUGGUGAUCCAAAAAAGGCAGGAUCCGGCCGGGGGCAAGGUGAUUAUUCUGUCUGAUGAGGAGAAUAAGAGCCAGUUUGUGGUAUUGACAGAAGAAUGAAAGUAAAGUCUUGAAAGAUGGGAAGAUCAGGAGCAGUCUGGAGUCAUGGUAUAUGAAUGAACUAGUGAGAGUGGGCACAAAGUCUGAAGAUCUUUGUAGUGCAGCUAAUGUCUAAGGGAGAAUAUACCUACCCUAGAAGAGACAUUAAACAACCAGGAAGCUUACUGCAGGAAAGAAAUCCCUCAGAGUCCUGAAGAUACAGCUUUCAGAACUUAGGUGAAGCAAGAGGACUCAAGGUGUGCAAGAAUGGACAGUACAGAAUGCUCUGCUACACUGCUCAGAUUCCCCCUUCAGGAAGGAAGGACAAAUUCACUCAACUUCUGGGAGCAUUGAUGGUUGAGCUCUCAGCCAUCAGACCUUUUUGGAAGUUGCCCUCUUCUGAAAAGAGGCACAUUGCCCAAGAUCUUUCCUCCUCCAGAGCGCAGGCUGCACCUGAAGUCUGAUUGAUGUGGGGUAUGAUGGUCUGGUCUCCUUUCCCCAUCUAAAGGACUGUUCUAACCUCAGGGCUCUCCUUGAGUUUCCUUAGUUAGUUCUUAUUACUAUGUUGCAGUCCAACUUCUUCUUUGGCCUAAUUCUACUUUCCUCCCAUUCCCCAAUUGUUGAUCCUGACAGCAAUUUCCCCCCAAAUUUCUGUAAACUAAGCAUGAUCUCAGAGUCACCUGACCUGCAACAUUAUUACAUACACUAUAGUCCGUGCACUUAAAGAUUUAGUGAAAGUAUGCUGCUGAAGCUUGCCAGAACUUCCCUUCUUCCACUGAAAAUUUGUCUGUUCAUAGAUAUACACCAUUCGUUCUCUUCUCUA
RNAcentral lists this long non-coding RNA (1016 nucleotides) under Homo sapiens (human). RNAcentral's name for it is "long intergenic non-protein coding RNA 1013". Lineage: Eukaryota; Metazoa; Chordata; Mammalia; Primates; Hominidae. The record is from RNAcentral.